Molecule: ribosomal RNA, 440 nt
Filed under: uncultured bacterium
Lineage: Bacteria
Description: partial 16S ribosomal RNA
Rfam family: Bacterial small subunit ribosomal RNA
Source: RNAcentral
CCUACGGGAGGCAGCAGUGGGGAAUAUUGCACAAUGGGGGAAACCCUGAUGCAGCGACGCCGCGUGAGUGAAGAAGUAUCUCGGUACGUAAAGCCCUAUCAGCAGGAAAGAAAAUGACGGUACCUGACUAAGAAGCCCCGGCUAACUACGUGCCAGCAGCCGCUGUCAUACGUAGGGGGCAAGCGUUAUUCGGAUUUACUGGGUGUAAAUGGAGCGUAGACGGCGCUGCAAGUCCGGAGUGAAAGCCCAUGGCUUAACCAUGGUACUGCUCUGGAAACUGUAGAGCUUGAGUGCGGGAGGGGCAGGCGGAAUUCGUAGUGUAGCGGUGAAAUGCGUAGAUAUUAGGAAGAACACCGGCGGCGAAGGCAGCCUGCUGGACCGUAACUGACGUUGAGGCUCGAAAGCGUGGGGAGCGAACAGGAUUAGAUACCCCGGUAGUC